Molecule: transfer RNA, 77 nt
Filed under: Bacilli bacterium
Lineage: Bacteria; Bacillati; Bacillota; Bacilli
Description: tRNA-Arg
Rfam family: tRNA
About the family: Transfer RNA (tRNA) molecules are approximately 80 nucleotides in length. Their secondary structure includes four short double-helical elements and three loops (D, anti-codon, and T loops).
Source: RNAcentral
GUCUUCGUAGCUCAGUUGGAUAGAGCAAUUGCCUCCUAAGCAAUAGGUCGGCAGUUCGAAUCUGCCCGGGGACACCA